AUGUCAUUCUGUCUUUGCCAAAAGUUUUAAUAUGCCCCAAGUAUUUUCUUUUGAAAGGGUGGGUUCAUUUCUUGAAAAAUGCCAAUUAAAGAAAAAGAAAGAAACAUGGGAGUCCAACACCAGGGGAACAAUUCAGAAAGUUUUACAGCACUUCCUCUCCAGGUGAGUUGCCAAAACAGGGAUACAUCGAAUCCUCUCUAUGGUUCUGUAGGUACCAGAAGAACGUCCUCACCUAGAAUAUGCUUCCCUGUCCUUGGUUCCCAGGAUGUAUGCUGAAAUCUUUUAAGGGAAAUUAUAAACAUCGUGAGGUGGAGUGCCCCCAGGAGGGUGCCAGGCCAGGCGAAGAUGCUCUGCUAUUCUAAAUACGUUCCAGGGGCCAUGCAGACUUGGACAAUAAAAAUAACGGACUGAAGAUCGGAAGUAUGUACCCUAUUUUCUGAGCAGUGCCUAAACCUCCCAAGCUCUUAUGUGACCCUAGGGAGAGGAAGCCCAUAACGACAGGGAUUUAAUUUCUCCAGUCUGGCAAUCUCAGGGGCAGAGCGAAGGCAGUGUAGGCAAUACACAGCAAUGGUUUACACCCUCGAAUUCUGGAAUCUACCCGCUGUGCCAUGUUGAACCCAUCUUGCUUUUCCUUCUCGCAGGUACUUUCCGCCACGCUCACCCUUCGUGACAAAUUUAUUGAGCGCCCGCCUGCAGGCCAGGGCCGUGAGAAGCAGAGAAGGAAAACACCAACUCCUUGCCCUAUAGGACUUAAUAGCUAACUCAUAAAAUAAUUACUGUUUACUAGACACUGUUG
This 796-nucleotide long non-coding RNA is filed under the name Lynx pardinus (Iberian lynx). Lineage: Eukaryota; Metazoa; Chordata; Mammalia; Carnivora; Felidae. The record is from RNAcentral.